GGUUAAGCGACUAAGCGUACACGGUGGAUGCCCUGGCAGUCAGAGGCGAUGAAGGACGUGCUAAUCUGCGAUAAGCGUCGGUAAGGUGAUAUGAACCGUUAUAACCGGCGAUUUCCGAAUGGGGAAACCCAGUGUGAUUCGUCACACUAUCAUUAACUGAAUCCAUAGGUUAAUGAGGCGAACCGGGGGAACUGAAACAUCUAAGUACCCCGAGGAAAAGAAAUCAACCGAGAUUCCCCCAGUAGCGGCGAGCGAACGGGGAGCAGCCCAGAGCCUGAAUCAGUGUGUGUGUUAGUGGAAGCGUCUGGAAAGGCGCGCGAUACAGGGUGACAGCCCCGUACACAAAAAUGCACAUGCUGUGAGCUCGAUGAGUAGGGCGGGACACGUGGUAUCCUGUCUGAAUAUGGGGGGACCAUCCUCCAAGGCUAAAUACUCCUGACUGACCGAUAGUGAACCAGUACCGUGAGGGAAAGGCGAAAAGAACCCCGGCGAGGGGAGUGAAAAAGAACCUGAAACCGUGUACGUACAAGCAGUGGGAGCCUCUUUAUGGGGUGACUGCGUACCUUUUGUAUAAUGGGUCAGCGACUUAUAUUCUGUAGCAAGGUUAACCGAAUAGGGGAGCCGAAGGGAAACCGAGUCUUAACUGGGCGUUAAGUUGCAGGGUAUAGACCCGAAACCCGGUGAUCUAGCCAUGGGCAGGUUGAAGGUUGGGUAACACUAACUGGAGGACCGAACCGACUAAUGUUGAAAAAUUAGCGGAUGACUUGUGGCUGGGGGUGAAAGGCCAAUCAAACCGGGAGAUAGCUGGUUCUCCCCGAAAGCUAUUUAGGUAGCGCCUCGUGAAUUCAUCUGCGGGGGUAGAGCACUGUUUCGGCAAGGGGGUCAUCCCGACUUACCAACCCGAUGCAAACUGCGAAUACCGGAGAAUGUUAUCACGGGAGACACACGGCGGGUGCUAACGUCCGUCGUGAAGAGGGAAACAACCCAGACCGCCAGCUAAGGUCCCAAAGUCAUGGUUAAGUGGGAAACGAUGUGGGAAGGCCCAGACAGCCAGGAUGUUGGCUUAGAAGCAGCCAUCAUUUAAAGAAAGCGUAAUAGCUCACUGGUCGAGUCGGCCUGCGCGGAAGAUGUAACGGGGCUAAACCAUGCACCGAAGCUGCGGCAGCGACACUAUGUGUUGUUGGGUAGGGGAGCGUUCUGUAAGCCUGUGAAGGUGUACUGUGAGGUAUGCUGGAGGUAUCAGAAGUGCGAAUGCUGACAUAAGUAACGAUAAAGCGGGUGAAAAGCCCGCUCGCCGGAAGACCAAGGGUUCCUGUCCAACGUUAAUCGGGGCAGGGUGAGUCGACCCCUAAGGCGAGGCCGAAAGGCGUAGUCGAUGGGAAACAGGUUAAUAUUCCUGUACUUGGUGUUACUGCGAAGGGGGGACGGAGAAGGCUAUGUUGGCCGGGCGACGGUUGUCCCGGUUUAAGCGUGUAGGCUGGUUUUCCAGGCAAAUCCGGAAAAUCAAGGCUGAGGCGUGAUGACGAGGCACUACGGUGCUGAAGCAACAAAUGCCCUGCUUCCAGGAAAAGCCUCUAAGCAUCAGGUAACAUCAAAUCGUACCCCAAACCGACACAGGUGGUCAGGUAGAGAAUACCAAGGCGCUUGAGAGAACUCGGGUGAAGGAACUAGGCAAAAUGGUGCCGUAACUUCGGGAGAAGGCACGCUGAUACGUAGGUGAAGCGACUUGCUCGUGGAGCUGAAAUCAGUCGAAGAUACCAGCUGGCUGCAACUGUUUAUUAAAAACACAGCACUGUGCAAACACGAAAGUGGACGUAUACGGUGUGACGCCUGCCCGGUGCCGGAAGGUUAAUUGAUGGGGUUAGCGGUAACGCGAAGCUCUUGAUCGAAGCCCCGGUAAACGGCGGCCGUAACUAUAACGGUCCUAAGGUAGCGAAAUUCCUUGUCGGGUAAGUUCCGACCUGCACGAAUGGCGUAAUGAUGGCCAGGCUGUCUCCACCCGAGACUCAGUGAAAUUGAACUCGCUGUGAAGAUGCAGUGUACCCGCGGCAAGACGGAAAGACCCCGUGAACCUUUACUAUAGCUUGACACUGAACAUUGAGCCUUGAUGUGUAGGAUAGGUGGGAGGCUUUGAAGUGUGGACGCCAGUCUGCAUGGAGCCGACCUUGAAAUACCACCCUUUAAUGUUUGAUGUUCUAACGUUGGCCCCUAAUCGGGGUUGCGGACAGUGUCUGGUGGGUAGUUUGACUGGGGCGGUCUCCUCCUAAAGAGUAACGGAGGAGCACGAAGGUUGGCUAAUCCUGGUCGGACAUCAGGAGGUUAGUGCAAUGGCAUAAGCCAGCUUGACUGCGAGCGUGACGGCGCGAGCAGGUGCGAAAGCAGGUCAUAGUGAUCCGGUGGUUCUGAAUGGAAGGGCCAUCGCUCAACGGAUAAAAGGUACUCCGGGGAUAACAGGCUGAUACCGCCCAAGAGUUCAUAUCGACGGCGGUGUUUGGCACCUCGAUGUCGGCUCAUCACAUCCUGGGGCUGAAGUAGGUCCCAAGGGUAUGGCUGUUCGCCAUUUAAAGUGGUACGCGAGCUGGGUUUAGAACGUCGUGAGACAGUUCGGUCCCUAUCUGCCGUGGGCGCUGGAGAACUGAGGGGGGCUGCUCCUAGUACGAGAGGACCGGAGUGGACGCAUCACUGGUGUUCGGGUUGUCAUGCCAAUGGCACUGCCCGGUAGCUAAAUGCGGAAGAGAUAAGUGCUGAAAGCAUCUAAGCACGAAACUUGCCCCGAGAUGAGUUCUCCCUGACUCCCUGAGAGUCCUGAAGGAACGUUGAAGACGACGACGUUGAUAGGCCGGGUGUGUAAGCGCAGCGAUGCGUUGAGCUAACCGGUACUAAUGAACCGUGAGGCUUAACCUU
This 2904-nucleotide ribosomal RNA is filed under the name Escherichia coli. Its description in RNAcentral is "23S ribosomal RNA". It matches the Rfam family "Bacterial large subunit ribosomal RNA". Lineage: Bacteria; Pseudomonadati; Pseudomonadota; Gammaproteobacteria; Enterobacterales; Enterobacteriaceae. The record is from RNAcentral.